UCCUGGCUAGCUCAGCUGGUAAAGAAUCCACCUGCAAUGCAGGAGACCCUGGUUUGAUUCCUGGGUCAGGAA
RNAcentral lists this transfer RNA (72 nucleotides) under Capra hircus (goat). It matches the Rfam family "tRNA". From Rfam's summary of the family: Transfer RNA (tRNA) molecules are approximately 80 nucleotides in length. The record is from Rfam by way of RNAcentral. RNAcentral also lists the same sequence under 1 other name. Lineage: Eukaryota; Metazoa; Chordata; Mammalia; Artiodactyla; Bovidae.